UCGAGAAUUACAUUUGUGUUUGUUCAAUUACUAUUCUCUUUCUCUCUCUCUAAUCGAGAUUUUUUAUAUUUUACAUAAGAAUGCGAAUUCAACAUUUUAAAUACUGUGAUCAUUUGAUUUAGUAUUUGAUUUAGUAUAUAAUUGAAAAAAUAAACGAAUCGUCAUUGAUGUCGUCGAGUUUUCUAACACAGUCGCUCACCACUGAAGCAUUCUUCAGAAAUGCCAAUGGAAUACAGUUAACAUUAAAAGAAAAAACAAGCUCGAAUCUAUCCAAUGUCGACAUCAUAAACUUUGCUUUACGAAGUGAAAAGCAUUUUAAUGUCAAUUUAUGUUUAACAUUAGUCUGUGCAAUUCUUUUUAUAUGGUUUGUGUCAGGAGCUUCACUUCCUCUUAUCGUAUCAGCAUGUCUUUUGAUACUACAAUGUAAAUCAUUCAUCACUUCUAUCAAACAGGAUACAUUGUUGGUUGUUAAAUCAGUAGGUGUACAUAUCGAAAAUAAAAGAGGAUUUGGUAUAUUUACAUCAAUAAAAUUCUUAC
This is a long non-coding RNA of Atta colombica, 537 nucleotides long. RefSeq lists it as uncharacterized. The transcript has 3 exons. The record is from RefSeq and is a predicted model, not a curated record. Lineage: Eukaryota; Metazoa; Arthropoda; Insecta; Hymenoptera; Formicidae.